AUGAACGCUGGCGGCGUGCCUAAUACAUGCAAGUCGAGCGAACGGACGAGAAGCUUGCUUCUCUGAUGUUAGCGGCGGACGGGUGAGUAACACGUGGAUAACCUACCUAUAAGACUGGGAUAACUUCGGGAAACCGGAGCUAAUACCGGAUAAUAUUUUGAACCGCAUGGUUCAAAAGUGAAAGACGGUCUUGCUGUCACUUAUAGAUGGAUCCGCGCUGCAUUAGCUAGUUGGUAAGGUAACGGCUUACCAAGGCAACGAUGCAUAGCCGACCUGAGAGGGAGAUCGGCCACACUGGAACUGAGACACGGUCCAGACUCCUACGGGAGGCAGCAGUAGGGAAUCUUCCGCAAUGGGCGAAAGCCUGACGGAGCAACGCCGCGUGAGUGAUGAAGGUCUUCGGAUCGUAAAACUCUGUUAUUAGGGAAGAACAUAUGUGUAAGUAACUGUGCACAUCUUGACGGUACCUAAUCAGAAAGCCACGGCUAACUACGUG
RNAcentral lists this ribosomal RNA (496 nucleotides) under uncultured bacterium. RNAcentral describes it as "partial 16S ribosomal RNA". It matches the Rfam family "Bacterial small subunit ribosomal RNA", at positions 29 to 507 of the family's 1533-position model. The record is from RNAcentral.